RNAcentral lists this unclassified non-coding RNA (454 nucleotides) under Hevea brasiliensis (rubber tree). Lineage: Eukaryota; Viridiplantae; Streptophyta; Magnoliopsida; Malpighiales; Euphorbiaceae. The record is from RNAcentral.
GUGAAUGCAAUCUCACUUUUGUUUUAAAUCUUUUCGAAGUGCUUAAGGCGGAGAAGCAACUUUUGUUUGAUUCAAUGUCUAUUUAGACUAUGCAGUUAGAAAUAUAACUUUUUUUUUUUUUAUGGUUCUUACAAAGUUUUAGAAACGGAUUUGAGGGAAAAAAAGUAACUGUUCUGGCUUUUUCUGCUUCGUUUGUGGGAUGUUUAAGUUUGGGAUCAAAAAUAUUGAAACUUAUUCUCAAUGAUGGUAAGCUCUUUUUUAUUUGUCUAUGAGAAAAACAAGAUGCCCUAUCCUACUGUGUCGUGGUGGGACAUCCCAAAUUGUGGACUUUUUAUUACAUAUGUUGGUAUUGGAGUUAGUAUGGCUGUGUGGGUUUUUUUGUGGGGAAUAAUUAUGUGGAUAAAUUUUCUAAUCAUAGUUAUUAAAAUUGCAAAUUUUUGAGGAUUUAACCCAA